GGGUCAGUAGGUUGGUCGUGCCACCGGUACGUACUGGUCUCACUGAUUCCUCCUUCCUGAAGAACCGUAAUGCCAUUAAUUUGGUGUUGCGGGGAAACAGGACUGUUACUUUGAAAAAAUUAGAGUGUUUAAAGCAAGCUAACGCUUGAAUACAUUAGCGUGGAAUAAUGAAAUAGGACGACCGAUCCUAUUUUGUUGGUUUCUAGGAUUGACGUA
Molecule: ribosomal RNA, 216 nt
Filed under: Glomeromycotina sp.
Lineage: Eukaryota; Fungi; Glomeromycota
Description: partial small subunit ribosomal RNA
Rfam family: Eukaryotic small subunit ribosomal RNA (bases 40-216)
Source: RNAcentral